UGGCUCAGUGGUUAAGAGUUCAGCUGCUAACUGAAAGGUUGGUGGUUCAAACCCACC
This 57-nucleotide transfer RNA is filed under the name Loxodonta africana (African savanna elephant). It matches the Rfam family "tRNA", at positions 8 to 63 of the family's 71-position model. Rfam says of the family: Transfer RNA (tRNA) molecules are approximately 80 nucleotides in length. Their secondary structure includes four short double-helical elements and three loops (D, anti-codon, and T loops). The record is from Rfam by way of RNAcentral. Lineage: Eukaryota; Metazoa; Chordata; Mammalia; Proboscidea; Elephantidae.